This 447-nucleotide ribosomal RNA is filed under the name uncultured bacterium. Its description in RNAcentral is "bacterial SSU rRNA". It matches the Rfam family "Bacterial small subunit ribosomal RNA", at positions 29 to 507 of the family's 1533-position model. The record is from RNAcentral. RNAcentral also lists the same sequence under 1 other name.
AACGAACGCUGGCGGCAUGCCUAACACAUGCAAGUCGAACGCUGUAUGAUCUUUCGGGAUUAUGCAGAGUGGCAGACGGGUGAGUAACGCGUGGGAAUCUACCUAUGAGUGGGGGAUAACUGAGGGAAACUUCAGCUAAUACCGCAUAAGCCCCAAGGGGGAAAGGCGCAAGUCGCUGAUAGAGGAGCCCGCGUCAGAUUAGGUUGUUGGUGGGGUAAAAGCCUACCAAGCCUGUGAUCUGUAGCUGUUCUGAGAGGAUGAUCAGCCACACUGGGACUGAGACACGGCCCAGACUCCUACGGGAGGCAGCAGUGGGGAAUAUUGGACAAUGGGGGCAACCCUGAUCCAGCAAUGCCGCGUGAGUGACGAAGGCCUUAGGGUUGUAAAGCUCUUUUGGUAGGGAAGAUAAUGACGGUACCUACCGAAUAAGUCCCGGCUAACUCCGUG